Molecule: ribosomal RNA, 468 nt
Filed under: uncultured bacterium
Lineage: Bacteria
Description: partial 16S ribosomal RNA
Rfam family: Bacterial small subunit ribosomal RNA
Source: RNAcentral
GACGAACGCUGGCGGCGUGCUUAACACAUGCAAGUCGAACGGAAAGGCCCUGCUUUUGUGGGGUGCUCGAGUGGCGAACGGGUGAGUAACACGUGAGUAACCUGCCCUUGACUUUGGGAUAACUUCAGGAAACUGGGGCUAAUACCGGAUAGGAGCUCCUGCUGCAUGGUGGGGGUUGGAAAGUUUCGGCGGUUGGGGAUGGACUCGCGGCUUAUCAGCUUGUUGGUGGGGUAGUGGCUUACCAAGGCUUUGACGGGUAGCCGGCCUGAGAGGGUGACCGGCCACAUUGGGACUGAGAUACGGCCCAGACUCCUACGGGAGGCAGCAGUGGGGAAUAUUGCACAAUGGGCAGAAGCCUGAUGCAGCAACGCCGCGUGCGGGAUGACGGCCUUCGGGUUGUAAACCGCUUUCGCCUGUGACAAAGCGUGAGUGACGGUAAUGGGUAAAGAAGCACCGGCUAACUACGUG